AUGUGCAUGCCUACAGAGUUAAUGCAUCAAAUCCCAUUAGAAAUCCAUAGUUAAGUGUGCUUGGGAUAGAGUAGUAUUAGGAUGGGUGACCUCCUGAGAAGUCCUAUUGUUUUGCAUGCC
This is a non-coding RNA of Picea glauca (white spruce), 120 nucleotides long. NCBI's taxonomy places the organism in Eukaryota, Viridiplantae, Streptophyta, Pinopsida, Pinales, Pinaceae. The record is from Rfam.